Lotus japonicus is the source of this 1374-nucleotide RNA transcript. It is a transcript of the gene named auxin response factor 12-like, with no coding region annotated. The record is from RefSeq and is a predicted model, not a curated record. The transcript has 11 exons. Lineage: Eukaryota; Viridiplantae; Streptophyta; Magnoliopsida; Fabales; Fabaceae.
CGACGUAAUCUCGACCUGCUACUUCUCUCAAAGCCCUCGCCACCUCCUGCCUCCGCCGUCCUUGCCGUCGCCGCCUCCAUCCCUUCCGCCUCUGCCUCUGCCUCCGUCCCUGCUGCGCCGCUGCCUCUCUUGUUUUGGGUCGCUUCCUGCACGGUUGUUGCCCUGUUCUCAUUAUCAACCUUCCAUUGUUCCUCAAUCCUCUCCACAAGCAAUUUUCCUCUUCCUCAUAAGGUACACAUGAGCGUUCCUAAUGUUGGACAAUUUAUUGAUUUGCUGAUCUCAAUUCCUGCUGAAGGACAUGAUAAUUCCUUUGCUUAUGUAAUGUCAGAAUGGACUAAGCAACAAGGUUGCUGUAUCUACCAACAGGGAAGUGGAUGCUCACAUCCCCAACUAUCCAAGUUUACCUCCCCAACUUAUCUGUCAACUUCAUAAUGUGACUAUGCAUGCAGAUACUGAGACAGACGAAGUAUACGUGCAGAUGACCUUGCAACAUCUGAAUCCUGAAGAGCAGGAGGGAUACCUUCCAGCAGAGUUGGGGACAGCGAGUAAACAGCCAACAAAUUAUUUCUGCAAAAUUUUGACGGCCAGUGAUACAAGCACUCAUGGGGGAUUCUCUGUUCCUCGCCGGGCAGCUGAAAAAGUUUUUCCUCCAUUGGACUUUUCACAGCAGCCUCCUUGUCAAGAGUUAAUUGCAAGGGAUUUGCAUGGUAAUGAAUGGAAAUUCAGACAUAUCUUCCGUGGCCAGCCGAAAAGGCAUCUACUUACAACAGGAUGGAGUGUCUUUGUGAGUGCUAAAAGACUAGUUGCUGGUGAUUCUGUGCUGUUUAUCUGGAAUGAAAAGAAUGAAUUGCUUCUCGGCAUUCGGCAUGCUAAUAGACCACAACCUAUGAUGCCUUCAUCGGUGCUGUCAAGUGAUAGCAUGCACUUGGGGCUUCUUGCUGCUGCAGCUCAUGCAGCUGCAACAAAUAGUCGUUUCACCAUUUUCUAUAACCCGCGUACUAGCCCAUCAGAAUUUGUCAUACCUUUAGCGAAGUAUGUUAAAGCUGUGUAUCAUACUCGAGUUUCAGUUGGUAUGCUCUUCAGGAUGCUAUUUGAAACAGAGGAAUCUAGUGUGCGGCGGAAAAGCCAAGUUACUUUAGUACAAGCAUCACGAACAAAACAAAUCAUUUUGGGAUAGAAAUAUAAGGAAAAGAUGUAGGUUUUGGUCCAUAAGCAAUAAGCACUACAGGGUUUGGAGAAUCCAUUAAGAGGUUGCUGUUUGAUAAUGGUGAGAUACAGGGGGCCUAUCAAAUAAAAGUUACUACAAGCGCCCUGGCCUUGUUGCUAACCAGUAGGCACAAUGAACUGGCAAAAAUUCAUGUCAAUGGCCAUCUG